GUACACUUUACGUGUUCCGCCGCACCUGACUGUAACACACAUUGUUCGCUGACCAGUCGCUCGUAGUACUUUGCGCUCGUCGGUAUAGAUUGGCAUUGACGUUUGGAUGACGGUGGAGAUGUCAGGUAGUAGAAGAAAAAUGAUGAUUGGCAGAAUUUCAGAACAGCAGAAAGAUAGUGUGUAAAGAUUAUACCGCGAUUAGCCUGUGGGAAUAAUUUACUUAAAGUUAUUACUUAAACUAGUUGGUAUUCGUACUUUCUCUAAAUUGUAAUCCUAAUCUAAACUUAAGUGGUAAGACGGUAAACAUAUUAAAAGAUGAAUUAGAAGCUUAAAAAGAAAUAUCGAAAUUAUAGGUUAGUGAACCAGUAAAUUUGCCCUGAUCGCCCACGAAGAACCGCAGUAUAGCCUAUUUCUAAACUAAGGUAAAUGACUAAAAAUCUAGAAAAGUUCUUUACUAAUUAUUGUGCUAAAACUAUAGGUUUGCUUACUCAAAGAAUGGUAUCUGCUGAUCGAUUGUAACGAACAAAGGAAAUGUACAAACGUAAGUAGAAGAAAAAUUAACCUAUAAAACUAUGUCUAAGUGAGUUCUUCGUAUUCAGGAAAAUUUUAAUCGCUGCGCUCGACACAAUAAACGAUUUAAAGUUUCGGAAAAGUUGUUUCCUUUGUUGCAUCCGCAACAAUCUUAAAAUUUUCGUUUUUCGGAUCGAUCGGAGAUGCCUAGAAGAAGCCGACGACGGAAUCGGGCGCCGGAAGAAAGCAUUCAGCAGACGUGCCUGCUUUGCAACCUUCCGGACAGCAGCGAGAUGGUGAGUUGCGAUAAAUGUGCUCAGUGGUUCCACUUCGAGUGUGUCGGAGUCAACGCGAAUGUGGCCAACAGGUCAUGGAGCUGCCCGGGUUGCUCUCCAGCUACAGAUCCGGCUCCACGUCUGCCACAGUCAUCGACCCCGUCUGCAUCGGAUUCAGGUGAGCCCCAUAUUCAGGCAACUCUAUCGCCACCGCCUGCCAUGCCCAUAACAGUUCCGUCAGUGCCACACCCGCGAACGCCAACCCCUCGCCCUCGUUCGACGCUAAUGCAAAAUCCGCCCCCGCCUACACCUCUUCCGCGUACCCCAAUUCCACGAACAACGUCAGUGUCAGUUGCAGAGGUUCCAGAAGUGCGAAUCGUUGAUCAGGAGUUACCGGAUGAAGUGAAUAUCGUGGAACGACUGCCAGCUGAUCUUCGCCUCCAGUUUCUGGAACAGCAGGAAGCCAUCGAGCAGCGAUAUUUGUUGCGUAGGUUCCAGCUACUGCUAGACAUGCCGACGAACGAGAAUAGUGCGAAUUCGCAAGGUCCCCGCGGAAAUGUUCCGGCAAGCCAAGUUCGUGAUCUUCCUCCAGUGUGCCAUUCUUCGCCAGUUGGUGUCAAUCAGUUGCCUCCACCGCCCACACCGAUGAAUAGGAACGUUUCGCCAUUUGUACCAAUAUCACAUCCAGACAGAUUUGAUGACCCCUCAGUUAUUCCGGCAUUGCUCAACGUUCGACUGGAUGCUUCGACGAUCCCUUUGCGGCAGGUCAAUCAACAACCGAAUUUCCCCGCUUCUCGUCCACCUCAGUCCGUUUUACGUCCUGUUGCUUCGUCGUUCGUUCCGCCUCCGAAUCGUUCACGCUUCAACGAGUUUUCUCAGGCUAAUGGUCAUCAACGCAACCGAACUUCUGCGUUUGCCCCCUUUGAGAGCGAUUCACAUCCCGCGACAUAUAACCCGUCAGCUUUUCACGAUGAUCCAACUACAGCAGGAGGGACGGCGCUGUUGAACAGGAGCCAACUUGCGGCCCGUCAUGCAGUUCCGAAGGAGUUACCCGUGUUCACUGGCGAACCAGAGGAGUGGCCCCUAUUCUAUGCGUCUUUUGAGAACACGACACACCUGUGCGGGUUCACUGCGGAGGAAAACAUGGUGCGUUUGCGUAAGUGCCUACAAGGGAAAGCACUGGAAGCGGUUAAAUGUCAACUGUUGCAUCCAAGCAACCUGGAUCAAGUCAUUGCUACCCUGAAGAUGCUUUUCGGACGCCCAGAAAUCAUCGUGCAUUCGUUGCUGCAAAAGAUCAACGGCCUACCAGCUCCCAAAGCAGAACGUCUCGGAACUCUCGUGGACUUCGCGUUAGCUGUGCGCAACAUGGUGGCCACGGUCAAAGCUUGUGAACUGGAAGAGCAUCUAUGCAACCUCACACUACUUCACAGUUUGUGUGAGCGGCUUCCUCCCAUGAUUCGCCUGAAUUGGGCAACUCAUCGUCAGUCUCUUCGUUCAGUGACAUUGUCUGAAUUCAGUGACUGGUUGUACAAGUUGGCAGAAGCAGCAAGCACCGUAACAAUGCCACAGUUUUCGAACAUUGUCGACAACAAACCUCGUCGGGGAAGAAAGGAGGAUGGAUUCUUGAAUGCGCAUACCGAAACAGCUCAGAAACCGAAGCAAUUAGACAUCAGUUCCGGGUGUCUCGUUUGUCAGGGUAGUUGUGCUACGAUAGACAAGUGUAAGCGGUUUUUGUCUUUCAGUCUUUCUGCUCGCUGGGACGCAUUACGAGAGCACAAGCUGUGUCGUGGUUGCCUUACCACCCACCGAGGCCCUUGCAAGUCAGCGAAAGUAUGUGGGAAAAGUGGAUGCCAGUACAAGCACCAUCGGUUGCUGCACAACGACGCUAAAAGCAAACCGGAAACAUCAUCGUCUGGCUCCCAGAGCCAUGCCAAACAGCAUCAACAAGCCGCUGCUACGGGGUCACAAGAAGUCGAAUCGUGCAACACACAUCGAGGGGGAAGCAAGUCCGUACUAUUUCAGUAUAUUCCGAUUGUGCUCUAUAACAACGGGAUUGAGCUGCAUACCCAUGCAUUUCUGGACAGUGGAUCGUCCCUGACGCUGAUGGAGGAAAGUUUGGCGAAGCAAUUGGACCUGAACGGCGAGAAGAGCCCCCUGUGCCUGCGGUGGACUGCGGAUACCUGCCGAUAUGAGAAGGAUGCUACAAUCGUUUCCCUCAACAUCUCCGGUAUACACGAUGGCAGCAGUCUACAUACUUUAAGGGAAGUCUACACGGUAAAGGAGUUGAAGCUACCGACACAAUCGCUACCUACUGAAGAACUGAUGGACAAGUACUCACAUCUGAAGGGUUUGCCAAUUGAACCCUACUCCAACGUUCAGCCGAAGUUAUUGAUCGGCGUGAGUAACGCAAGGGUGAUGCACGUGUUAGAUGAUCGCGAAGGGAAGCUUGAUGAACCUGUUGCAGUGAAGACGCGUCUCGGCUGGACAGUCUACGGCACGUAUACGUCGGUGAAAGAUUCAGUUCCACGGCUCCUCCCUCACAGCUUCCACGUUUGCUCGCAUUUCCACGGAACGGAUGACAGUCUACACGAAGCAGUUAAAAAUUACUUCGCCCUCGAUAGUCUGGGAAUCAGCGCUCCUCAAAAUCAGCUUCUCUCCAAGGAAGAUGAACGAGCUCUAGCGAUGCUGCGUGAAGUCACGACUUUUCAAGACGGGAGAUAUCAGACAGGCCUACUGUGGAAAUACGAUGACGUGCGUCUACCCAGUAAUCGAUCCAUGGCAUUGAGACGCCAUCGUUGUCUGACCAAGAGGAUGGAGCGUGAGCCGCAGCUAGCCGAAACCCUACGAGCAAAGAUGAAGGACUACGAGCAGAAGGGAUACAUCCGUAAAUUGACACUGGAAGAGAGUCGUAUGAUUGGCGAUCGCACUUGGUAUUUACCGAUUUUUCCGGUGUUCAACCCUAACAAACCGGGAAAGAUCCGGAUAGUCUUCGACGCAGCUGCUUCUUUUGGUUCUGUCUCCCUCAAUUCCGUAUUGAUGAAAGGACCGGAUCAACUAAACGCUUUGCCGCCAGUUCUAUACAAGUUUCGGGAGCGGUUGAUCGGCCUCGGAGGCGACGUUGCUGAGAUGUUUCAUCAGAUAAGAAUGCGACCUGAAGAUGAACACAGCCAGCGGAUCUUGUGGUGUGCUAGUGAUAAUUCCACAGAGCCAUGCGACUACGUGAUGCAGGUAGUAACAUUCGGCGCUACCUGUUCACCCAGUACAGCGUUGUACGUCCUGAAUGAGAAUGCGUCCAGAUUCGAGAACCAGUUCCCCGUUGCUGUUGAUGCUAUCUGCCAUCGUCACUACGUCGACGAUAUGUUGACUAGCGUUGACACGGAAGAGGAAGCGAUCCAGUUAGCAAAUGACGUUCGCUACAUUCACCACCAGGGUGGAUUCCACAUGAGGAACUGGGUGUCAAACUCAUCAGCAGUACUUGAGGCCCUCGGAGAGAAUCCGAAGUCCGAAAAGUCUAUGGAGAUGAAUGCGGAGCUCGCCAUGGAAAAAGUGCUCGGCAUGUGGUGGAACACGACGUCGGAUGCCUUCAGUUACAAGCUCUGUACAGAGCGCAAUCAAGAGCUUCUGUCCGGUGCCAAACACCCCACCAAGCGGGACGUACUUCGUACACUGAUGGCUGUCUACGAUCCCUUAGGACUUAUCGCGCACUACCUAAUGUAUUUGAAGGUACUGUUACAAGAGAUCUGGAGAGCGAAGACCGGGUGGGACGAUCCGAUCGAAGAGAAGCAUCUAGAGAAAUGGAUGACGUGGUUGCGCAUACUUCCCGAGCUGGAGUCCGUCAAGAUACCUCGUUGUUAUUUCCGACACGAGGCAGGAAUCGACAAAGCUACCGUGGAGCUCCAUACUUUCGUAGAUGCCAGUGAAAGUGGCUUCGCGGCCGUGUCCUAUUUCCGCUUUGAAGUGGAUGGCUACGUCGAAUGUGCCCUAAUCGGAAGUAAAACAAGAGUGGCACCUCUCAAGUUCGUCUCCAUUCCACGGCUGGAGUUGCAGGCAGCUGUCAUCGGUACGCGUUUAGCACGGAACAUUGCAGAAGGACAUUCCAUCAAAAUUGAUCGACGCUAUUUUUGGACAGACGCUCGAGACGUCAUGUGUUGGUUGCAGUCUGAUCACCGACGUUAUUCGCAGUUCGUGGCCUUCCGUGUUGGCGAAAUUCUGGAGGCGACGCAUAUCACCGAGUGGAGAUGGCUGGGCACAAAACAUAACGUCGCAGAUGAUGGUACAAAGUGGAAGUUUAGACCAGAUCUCAAGCCAACAAGCCGUUGGUUUACAGGUCCACCGUUUCUAUGGAAGCCUAAGAGCGAAUGGCCAUCGUCAAAUCUGAAUUGUGAUGAAACCACAAACGAACUUCGUGCGAACUAUCUGUACCACAUCGAAGGCAAGGUCCAAACAGUUCUGCAGGCUGAAAAUUACUCAACCUGGCAACGAUUACUACGUGUGACAGCUUUCGUUCAUCGUUUCAUUGAGAACAUCAAACGCAAACAGAAGAAGGAGUCAAUGAUCCUCGGACCGCUCACACAAGACGAACUUUUCGCAGCGGAAUCAUUCCAGUUUCGACAAACCCAGGCAGACGUGUACGGCGAGCAGUUGGCAGCAAUUUCAUCAGCAAAACGGCUGAAGAAGACAGAUAGCCUAUUCAAGCUGAACCCGUUCCUUGAUAAUCACGGAGUGAUGCGCAUCCACAGUCGAUUGGGGGAGUGUGACUUUGUAGACGAAAGUGAACGGAAUCCUAUCGUACUUCCUCGUGAUCAUCCCACUACCCGUCUCAUCGUUGCCAAUGUGCAUCAACGUUAUCAGCAUCAGUGCCAUGAAACCUGCGUAAACGAAGUUCGGCGAGAGUUCUACAUUCCACGAGUACGCAGAGUUUGUGAACAGGUUCGUCGGAGCUGUCAGCAAUGCAAGAUCAGCAGUGCGAGGCCGGAACCACCAGCGAUGGGAUCCCUUCCCAAAGCACGAGUAGCAGCCUUUGUACGUCCGUUUUCCUACGUCGGCGUAGACUUCUUUGGACCCUUUCUCGCCCUAAUUGGUCGUCGACACGAGAAACGCUGGGGUGUGAUUGUUACUUGCCUGUCAACCCGGGCGAUACACCUCGAGUUAGCCCCUUCGCUGAACACAAGUUCCUGCAUUAUGGCGCUACGGAACUGCUUCGCUCGUCGUGGGACUCCUGUAGAGAUUAGAAGCGAUCGUGGAACUAAUUUCGUCGGCGCAGAUAAGGAACUUAAGGCUGCGGUGAUGGCGUUAGAUCAGAACAAGCUGAUGACCGAAUUCAACAGUCCGACAACAUCGUGGGUUUUCAAUCCUCCAGCAUCUCCUCAUAUGGGUGGCUGCUGGGAACGUCUAAUCCAGUCGGUCAAGAAAGUCUUAGCUGCAAUCAAACCUCAGCGAGUGCCCACGGAGGAAGUUCUACGGAGCUACCUCAUUCAGGUCGAAAACAUCGUCAACAGUCGUCCGCUGACACAUGUUCCAGUGGAUAACUGCUCGUCACCGGCGCUGACUCCUAACCACUUCUUGGUAGGAUCGUCAAACGGAUCAAAACCUCUCGUUCCAUACGUGGAUUGUCCAAUAGCGGUUCAGCAGUCUUGGAAGGGGUCAGAAGCUAUGGCAAAUCGGUUCUGGCAUCGGUGGGUAACGGAAUACUUGCCAACGGUCACUCGCCGCACUAAGUGGUUCUACCCAGUGAAGCCAAUUGCGGUAAGCGACGUGGUCGUCAUUGCAGAUCCUGACCUACCAAGGAAUCACUGGCCCAAAGGACGAGUUGUAUCAGUGAAGACCUCUUCGGAUGGACAAGUUCGUUCGGCGGUUGUACAGACUGCUUACGGAUUCUACAACAGGCCUGCGACCAAGUUAGCAGUGUUGGACGUAGGUGCAAACGAAAGUGAGCCGGACCAGGGUCCAACCACCGGGGGGGACUGUUGCGUACACUUUACGUGUUCCGCCGCACCUGACUGUAACACACAUUGUUCGCUGACCAGUCGCUCGUAGUACUUUGCGCUCGUCGGUAUAGAUUGGCAUUGACGUUUGGAUGACGGUGGAGAUGUCAGGUAGUAGAAGAAAAAUGAUGAUUGGCAGAAUUUCAGAACAGCAGAAAGAUAGUGUGUAAAGAUUAUACCGCGAUUAGCCUGUGGGAAUAAUUUACUUAAAGUUAUUACUUAAACUAGUUGGUAUUCGUACUUUCUCUAAAUUGUAAUCCUAAUCUAAACUUAAGUGGUAAGACGGUAAACAUAUUAAAAGAUGAAUUAGAAGCUUAAAAAGAAAUAUCGAAAUUAUAGGUUAGUGAACCAGUAAAUUUGCCCUGAUCGCCCACGAAGAACCGCAGUAUAGCCUAUUUCUAAACUAAGGUAAAUGACUAAAAAUCUAGAAAAGUUCUUUACUAAUUAUUGUGCUAAAACUAUAGGUUUGCUUACUCAAAGAAUGGUAUCUGCUGAUCGAUUGUAACGAACAAAGGAAAUGUACAAACGAAAAUUUUAAUCGCUGCGCUCGACACAAUAAACGAUUUAAAGUUUCGGAAAAGUUGUUUCCUUUGUUGCAUCCGCAACA
Molecule: RNA transcript, 7376 nt
Organism: Aedes albopictus (Asian tiger mosquito)
Lineage: Eukaryota; Metazoa; Arthropoda; Insecta; Diptera; Culicidae
Exons: 2
Source: RefSeq, a predicted model, not a curated record